Neopelma chrysocephalum (saffron-crested tyrant-manakin) is the source of this 1435-nucleotide long non-coding RNA. RefSeq lists it as uncharacterized. The record is from RefSeq and is a predicted model, not a curated record. NCBI's taxonomy places the organism in Eukaryota, Metazoa, Chordata, Aves, Passeriformes, Pipridae. The transcript has 2 exons.
CGGGCGGCCGCGGGGACUCCACGCGCGCCGCUCCGAACGCGCCUUUACGUGAAGGGACGGGGCGGGAUCGCCCCGGCUGGGGGAUAACGCUGUGCUUCCCGAUUUACUUCUGCUCCCUCCGGGAAGGGUUAAUGAGGAUGGUUCCUAAAAAAAAAAAGAGAAGGUGCUUCUGUGUCGUUUGCGCUCUCGGCGAGCGCCAGACCCGUGGUGAAGGAAGGGCGGGCAGCGGGGGCGGCGCUGCCCUGGGACACAUUGAACACAGAACCACAAAACCAGUGGGCUUGGAAAAGACCUCCAAGAUCAUCGAAUCCACCCUGUGACCCAUCACCCAGGUGUUUAAACCAGCGGCAGAGCAAGAGUCAUGUUCGUGAUAAAUUGAACUGUCUGCAGGGAUAUUUGUCUCUCACUGAACAGAAUUCCACCUGUAGGUUCCUCGGGAUCUCUCUGCAGAAGGACUGCAAUCUAACAUUGCCCAAGUUCAGGACAGUUCUCUCAGAGAUGUCUCUGCUCUGGGCUGGCAGUCUCUCCCCGACACCUUAGAUCCAGAAAUGCAUUUGACUCAAGUUUUCUGAAUUUAAUUUCUUGGUAUGACGUCUGUGCCCAUUUAGGAAUUCAUUACUUGAUUUGUGUUUAUUCUUUAUGCAGUGUGUUGUGUAUUUAAGAAUUUAAAUGAAAUUAUUUUCGGCUUUGUCUCUUGGAUGUCUCCUCUGUAGCUAUAGGAGAGUCAUCUUUUAAGGCAAGGGGUAUUAAUUGUGGUUCAUUUGUUAUCUGGUUUCUGCUCUUCAUAGAGAACUUAGGGAGCAAGUUUUGUGCUUGGAAAACUACUUUCCUGUUGAAAGUUGUGCUGUUUAUUAUCUGAUUGACUUGCACAUUCAGCCAUACUGAUUAUCCAUCCAUAUCCAUAUAGAAAAGUCAUGUUAUACGUGCAACAUAAUUGUGUGGGUACCCAAAAAGGGAGAGUAUUUCAUUACUGGAAAUCCAAACUGUAUUUAUUUUAUUUUUAAGGGAACUCAGACUUGAAGUUUUUAUUUUUGAAGAUUUUAUUACUUUGUAUUAAUGACAGAAUCAUUAAAAAUAAUGAGGUUUAUGCAUGCUGUGAGGUGUAGCUGAGCUGCAGCCUUGGCCUUGGGCCUUGAAAUCUUAUUUCAUCUUGAGCUCAACGCUGGCUGUGUUCUCUUACAAGAGGGGAGGUUUGAUGUCACACUGUUGGCCUGUGUCUGCUUCAGUUUUGAUGACAGCUCCUAGUCAUGAAUCAGGUUUAUGACUGGAACUUCUAGGAAUUCUUUAACAAGAAACAUAAUUUUAAAAGUAAAUAAAAACCCAGUGGAAGCUCAAUAUUCUUACCAGCUUUUUUGUGUGUGUUGUGUUGCCGUGAUGGUAAGCUAUGUGUGUAAUGGUGGAGUUUUAAAAAUAAAUAUAACUGUUGUCCUCUCUA